CCAGGCCUUGGUCGUCAAGAAGAGACUGGAAUGCAAACCGAGAAUGAAAAGGCCCACUUUGCUCAGAGACACAGACCUGGCAUCACCACCGCCAGGGACUGGCAGCAGAGAGAGUGGGAGGAGAAAGGCCUACAGAUGAAAGGGUAUUGUCAGUCACGUUGUCACUGAUGAAAGAAAUAUGGCAAAACAUCAGCGGAGUCCAGAUGGCCGGGCGGCCUCUGUUGCAACUACUCGAUGUCAUGGCAGCCUCCAAACCCCGGGAGACGAUAUGCAAACAAAUGGGUGUGACCGUGUCCCAGUAAAAGGGCAGUAGGACAGACUCAACUUGUAGGCUGUGGUUUGCCAACCUCGGAUGUGCAACAGAACUUUCUGCAAUGAUGGAAAUGUUCUCUGUGUGGUCCGGAUCAAGUCAAUAGCCACAUCGUGGCUACUGGGUGCUUGAAAUGUGAAUCUACUGAAGUAAUUUCUACACCCAACGUGGGGCUCAAAGUCACCACCCUGAGAUCAAGAGUCGCACGCUCCUCGGCCUGAGCCAGCCAGGCGCCCCCAGGAACUUAUUUCUUAAGUUACCUAAGUAGUCCGGACGACGAAGGAAAGUUCCACUUUAUAGAAGAAUGCCAGCUAAUGGGUGUGAACACAAAGACAGGAGGAGAAAGCCAUCAUUUUGAAACUCCUAAUGAACUUACAGACUUACAGGAGAAUUAAAAAUGACGUUAAAGCCAUUAGGUGAAAGAUGGGUGAAGGACUGGACAUCCGCAGAGUGUGAAAAGAACACGACUCGGGUAACUUUCCACC
This is a long non-coding RNA of Ailuropoda melanoleuca (giant panda), 795 nucleotides long. RefSeq lists it as uncharacterized. The record is from RefSeq and is a predicted model, not a curated record. Lineage: Eukaryota; Metazoa; Chordata; Mammalia; Carnivora; Ursidae. The transcript has 3 exons.